This 414-nucleotide long non-coding RNA is filed under the name Cyanistes caeruleus (blue tit). RNAcentral's name for it is "lncRNA (ENSCCEG00000018349.1)". The record is from RNAcentral. Lineage: Eukaryota; Metazoa; Chordata; Aves; Passeriformes; Paridae.
GGGGUUGGAGAAAUCCACAUAAAACUCAUCUGUGGGAGCACGCUGGAAAUCAAAUUCUGCAGCUGAAUUUGGAAGGAAUCUCUUUUUUCUGUUAAAAAAAACUCCAAAAACUACUCUCAAAGACCUGAAAACUCAAACCAGUUGGUGUGGGUUUCUUCGGAUUUUCAGUCUUACAUACUCCAGGUGCCAACAGUUGUGGAAUUGUUUUGGAUAAUUGUUCUCAGCCUUCUGCAGUGUUCCCAAAAAGUAUCAUCAGCUUUCAGUCAGGUGGGACCUCUCUGAAUUAUCAAGACCAAAAAAUGUCAGUUCUGACAGCCAUGAUUUUUAAAUUUUUUUAGUAAAACUGUUGUUUUCUACAUUCCAUUGUAAUAAUAAUUCUGACACCCACAGUGCUUAAAGUGAGUGUUAAAAGAG